UAACACGUAUGCAAUCUGCCCCUAACUGGAAGAUAGCCCGGCGAAAGUCGGAUUAAUAUUCCAUAACAUUGCGAAACGGCAUCGUUUUGUAAUUAAAGCUCCGGCGGUUAGGGAUGAGCAUGCGCGACAUUAGCUAUAUGGCGAGGUAACGGCUCACCAUGGCUACGAUGUCUAGGGGGUCUGAGAGGAUUAUCCCCCACACUGGUACUGAGACACGGACCAGACUCCUACGGGAGGCAGCAGUAGGGAAUAUUGGGCAAUGGACGCAAGUCUGACCCAGCCAUGCCGCGUGCAGGAUGACGGCCCUAUGGGUUGUAAACUGCUUUUGUACAGGAAGAAACCCCUUUACGUGUACAGGGCUGACAUUACUGUAAGAAUAAGGAUCGGCUAACUCCGUGCCAGCAGCCGCGGUAAUACGGAGGAUCCAAGCGUUGUCCGGAUUUAUUGGGUUUAAAGGGUGCGUAUGCGGACCAUUAAGUCAGAGGUGAAAGUUUGCAGCUUAACUGUAAAAUUGCCUUUGAAACUGGUGGUCUUGAGUACAGUUGAGGUGGGCGGAAUGUGUCAUGUAGCGGUGAAAUGCUUAUAUAUGAUACAGAACACCGAUUGCGAAGGCAGCUCACUAAACUGUAACUGACGCUGACGCACGAAAGCGUGGGGAGCGAACAGGAUUAGAUACCCUGGUAGUCCACGCCCUAAACGUUGAAUACUCGUUGUUGGCGAUAUACAGUCAGCGACUAAGCGAAAGCAUUAAAUAUUCCACCUGGGGAGUACGACCGCAAGGUUGAAACUCAAAGGAAUUGAC
Molecule: ribosomal RNA, 802 nt
Filed under: uncultured bacterium
Lineage: Bacteria
Description: bacterial SSU rRNA
Rfam family: Bacterial small subunit ribosomal RNA
Source: RNAcentral